CCUACGGGGGGCAGCAGUGAGGAAUAUUGGUCAAUAGUCGGAAGGCUGAACCAGCCAUGCCGCGUGAAGGUCAGUGCCCUAUGGGCGUUAAACUUCUUUUGUGCGGGAGCAAUAAUGGUCACGUGUGGCCAGACGAGAGUACCGUACGAAUAAGCAUCGGCUAACUCCGUGCCAGCAGCCGCGGUAAGACGGGGGAUGCAAGCGUUAUCCGGAUUUAUUGGGUUUAAAGGGUGCGUAGGCUGUGAGGUAAGUCAGCGGUGAAAUGCCCCCGCUCAACGGGGUGAAGUGCCAUUGAUACUGCCUGGCUGGAAUGCGGAUGCCGUGGGAGGAAUGUGUGGUGUAGCGGUGAAAUGCAUAGAUAUCACACAGAACACCGAUUGCGAAGGCAUCUCACGAAUCCGCGAUUGACGCUGAUGCACGAAAGCGUGGGUAUCAAACAGGAUUAGAUACCCUUGUAGUC
This 460-nucleotide ribosomal RNA is filed under the name uncultured bacterium. RNAcentral describes it as "partial 16S ribosomal RNA". It matches the Rfam family "Bacterial small subunit ribosomal RNA", at positions 338 to 795 of the family's 1533-position model. The record is from RNAcentral.